UUGGAGCAGAGAAGGGAUUGAAUCCUUGAUGUAAUGGUGAACUUUGUCGUAAGGCAUGGCCGCUGGACCAUCUCGAUUAUACUAUAAUUUUUAUUUUAUAUAUUUAUUGGGAUAGUUGAAUAUUUUGGAUGAUUAUCCGAGAUUAAUUUUGAAUUUGGUAUUAUUAUUUUUAAGAUUCUAUUUUUUUUGUUUUUAAAUUAUUAUUUUUUCGAAUUCAUGUUUGGUUUGGAUAAAAUCUAAAAUUCUAAAUGCAUUACAAUUUCAGAUAUUUAUGUCAUAUUAAAUUUGAUUUGAAUUCUCACUUUUUGUUCGGUUUAGUCUUUUAUCAUCCCUACUUUUUUCUAUUAUUAUAACUAGAGAUUUUGCCCGGGCUACGCCCGGAUAUAUUCAAAUAAUUUUAUAUUUAAUAUUUAUAUUACAAUAUAUUACUUCGAUGUUAUAAGAGUAUAAAUAGAAAUUGAAUUAGAAAUGAGUAAGACUUACAAUUUAUUUUUUUACUAUCUAAAAUAUGUAUGGGAUGGUAAACAAAUGCAAAAUUAAUACAAAAUUUGUUAAACUGUAGUUAUUAUCCAAAGUAUCUUUUCUUACAUAUUUAGGUUAUUA
RNAcentral lists this long non-coding RNA (603 nucleotides) under Brassica rapa (field mustard). Its description in RNAcentral is "long non-coding RNA (BRAP_LNC007295)". Lineage: Eukaryota; Viridiplantae; Streptophyta; Magnoliopsida; Brassicales; Brassicaceae. The record is from RNAcentral.